AAGUCGUAACAAGGUAACCGUAGGUGAACCUGCGGUUGGAUCAUUACUGAUUAUGCCAUGCCUAGUUGAGUUUUUUUAGAUUCCUAGGCAUGGUAUUCAACCACUGUGCACUAAUUGUAUUUUGGGUCUUUUGGCGAAAAGUUGGUACCUUGCCUUUUUGGUUUUGUACCACUGUUCCUAGGAGGCCCAGCAUUACGAACCAAUGAAAUUUUUGUCUGAAAUCUUUAUAAAAUAAGAAACAACUUUUGACAACGGAUCUCUUGGCUCUC
RNAcentral lists this unclassified non-coding RNA (269 nucleotides) under fungal sp. RNAcentral's name for it is "partial internal transcribed spacer region". The stretch from base 1 to 46 matches the Rfam family "Eukaryotic small subunit ribosomal RNA", at positions 1786 to 1831 of the family's 1831-position model. Lineage: Eukaryota; Fungi. The record is from RNAcentral.